RNAcentral lists this unclassified non-coding RNA (264 nucleotides) under Hevea brasiliensis (rubber tree). The record is from RNAcentral. Lineage: Eukaryota; Viridiplantae; Streptophyta; Magnoliopsida; Malpighiales; Euphorbiaceae.
CGAUCAUUGAAUAAUGGACGAGCCUGCAUUUUUGUAAAAACAUUGCCCCACAAUUAUUACAAAAUAUAGAACAGACACCUAGAAAACAAGAAGAUUAUGAAAGGAUGGGCUACACGACAGGUUUAGUGUAUUACCCAUGUGACAAGGUUCUGCUCUCCAUGUGGACGAGUACUGUCAAUAGCUUUACGCCCAGUAAUGAGCUCUAAGAAGACAACCCCAAAACUGUAGACGUCAGAUUUCACAGUCAAUUGUCCAGUCAUGGCA